RNAcentral lists this long non-coding RNA (40463 nucleotides) under Triticum aestivum (bread wheat). RNAcentral describes it as "long non-coding RNA (TAES_LNC009297)". The stretch from base 39145 to 39259 matches the Rfam family "MIR1120/MIR1122 microRNA precursor family". Lineage: Eukaryota; Viridiplantae; Streptophyta; Magnoliopsida; Poales; Poaceae. The record is from RNAcentral.
UUGGCCUUUCAAGGUAUUUGCAGAAGACAGAUGGAAGUAGGGGGGUAGCAGGAAUGUGGUUACGGCGAUGUUCCACACCCAGAGACUCACAUGACAGCAGAUGUGCAUUUUCGCCAACCAUGAUAUUCCACCCAUCACCAUCAAACUCCUCCUCUGUUAACAGGCAGCAAAGAACAUUCGGGUCAUCCAAGCUGAUGGUUGGGAACUCAGGAAGACGCUGAUCUAUGUGCAGAUCUAGGUAGCCAGGUUGUGCCCAGAGAGAAUACAGGUUGAUCACAUGAUGUAGCUUCCACUCGAACUUGUUGGAGUCCAACGUCCAAACGGUGAUAUCCUGGGUAGGCCGCUUCUGCUGGCCUCGGCUUUUUCUCGCAGGAGGCGGCCCAUGGAAGUCAUUGUCAAUGUGCACAAAGCACAGCAUGCCUUGGCUGAUGGACACACUUCGGAAUCUGUCAGGGCGGCGCCUUUCAACCCGUUCCUCAUCAGAGAAAUCAUUUUUCCCAGGGAAAGGCACAAAGCGGAGCACUGGGGACAAGUCUUGUAUCGCGAAGUCACAUAGCAGAACACCACUCAUGUAGUCAAUACAGCACAGGAAACGGCCGGCAAAAGCAAGCAGAUUGUCGGUUGACCAGAGGUUGGGGAACUGACCGCCAUUGCUCUGGUCCUGCGGCUGAGGGGCAGGCAUCUCGGGGCUGAGUUCCCACUGUUUAGCCCCAGAGCGGAAGACGCAGAGUUGGGCACAGAUACCAUUUUUUCCGCGGCAGACAUCGAUAUCGGCAACGAUGUAGCGAUCCUCAUCUUUGAGCCGCAGGAUGCCUGUGGUGACGAAACCCAUCAGGAACGGCCUAUUGCUCUCGAUUGUGUACGGUGGGAGCCGCUGCACCGAGGGGCGAGGACCGCCGGCCUUGUAGACGAACAGAUCUGCCGGGGGAUCCCAGUAGCUCGGGUUGUUGACGUCGAAGAGGACGAUUUCCUUGACUUUUUUCUGCGGGUAGGACAUUUGAAAGAGGACGAGGUUGUUGUCGGUUGCCCGGAGGAAGGCAUAGGCGGGCGGGGUGUGUAAGGCAAUUGGAGGUCCCUCCGGCAAGUGGAGGUUGAGGCAGGAGAUCCCUUUUUGAGGAGCCGCGAGGGUGAAGGUCACGUAGCAGGAGGGGCCGCCGUCCAUGUCGACCGGAGCGGCGGUCUUGUCCUUGUCGACAGCCACACGAGCAGCUUCUAGGCUGUUGUGGCGGUGGGUCUUGCCCUUGCGGUGCAGCACCACCCAAUGAGGGAGGACGACGGUCUCCUCCUCCGGCUCCGGCUCCGGCGCGCCUCCAGUGUCCAUGGCGAUCGGCAUCGGGAAUAAAGCAGCCGCCGCCUCCCUAACCCUAACCCUAGUUUCUGGUGGGGGGACUGAUGGACGGGAAGGAAGGAAGGGAGACAGUGAGGCUCUUAUUGGGCGGCUUAAGCGCCAGCGAGCGGAACCGGCGCUCACGCGCACACCUUCGUGAGCUGGCCCAGCCAGCGAACGGACGGUCGCGGUGGAAUUCCCCUGGUCGCGGUUGACCGAUCUGACUAUUUCACCAUUGACUAUUCAAAAAAGUGUUUUUAAUCAGGAAUUAAAAAAAUUCGUUCACAGAAAAAAGAUCACAGGUUAAACAAAGUUGACGAAUUUAGAAGAAAAAAUUCAUAAAAAUGGAAAAGGUUCAUCGAUCUUUAAAAAAAAUCACUCAAUUUAAAAAAAGUUCAUCGAUUUUACAAAAGAAUUUGAUCAAUUUUGAAAAAAAAAGUCACUGAUCUUGAAAAAAAGUUCAUCAAUUUUGGAAAAAAGUUCAUAGAUUUUGAAAACAAAUCACUGAUUUUGAAAAAAAGUUCAUAAGUUUUGAAAAAAUUCCAUUCAAUGUUGAAAAAAAGUUCAUCAGAUAAGAAGAAAGAAAUGUGUUCCAAAGAAAAAAGAAAUAGAAAAGAGAAAAAGAUGUAAGAAGAAAAGAAGGAAGAAAAUGUGAACGAGCACAUCAUGUAAAGGGAGGUGGAUGCGGUGGUUAGUGCAGCUCCUUGGGGUGCCGCUGUCCACAUGCCCUCGAGGCAAUCACCAAAUUCCUCAUGCUUUUCCCAGUACAACUCGUACUUAAAUAGCUUCCUUUGGAUAGACGCCGGCUCACUGGGCUCGAGAGCUAGUCUGAUCGGGCAAUGAUCUGAAGCUGCGCCCGUCUCGUGGACAGACUUGCCUGGGGAUACAAAGCUGUCCACUCCGAGCUUGCCAUAGCACGGUCAAGCCGGACAUGGCAGUAACCCCCACCUGACGUCUUCUUCUCAAAAGUCCAUGCUUUCCCAUGAUAGCCUAGAUCUUGAAGGCCACACACAUCCAUGGCUUCCCGAAAUCCUUCAAUCUGAGAAGACCUGCAUUGACCAGCCCCGGAGUGUUCAUGUUGGUGUAGAACUUCAUUGAAGUCCCCAAUACACAGCCACGGCAAGUUGCUUUCAGCCGUCAAGGACUUUAGCAAAUCCCAGGUUUUGUAUCUUUCCCCCGCUUGCGCCUCGCCAUACACACAAGUAAGCCUCCACUCUGAAAAAUUUGGGAUAGAAACAGUAGCAUCUACGUGAUACUCCGAGUAACCAAAAACAUCUAGCUUUAUUCCAUCAUUCCAAAAAACACCAAUGCUGCCACUACGGCCCGAACUACCAACAGCAUAAGAGUGAUUAAAACCUAAAGUACCAGCAAGAUUUUCGACACGUGCUUUAGAUAUCUGAGUUUCUACUAUGCAUAACACUGUCGGGGCCAAUUGCUUCGCUAGGUCGCGAAGCUCACGAAUUGUCGCAGCUUUGCCCACACCACGACAAUUCCAACACAGAAGAUUCAUUGUGCUCGGCGAUCCUCCCCUCGGGAGGUCGCCGAUUUUGCAUCAUUUUGUUUUUCACUUGUUGGUACUUUAUUCCCAUUAUUCUUCUCAGCACUUGUCCUAAUUCUCUUCGGAUCCUGCUUUGACGAUGGGCUGGCAGGGAUCGCUGGAGGAGGCAGGGCUAGUGUGGUCUCUUUUGCCGACGCUACCGUCCCGGCACCGUCCAUUGGUUCAGACAGUUCAGAGGCGCGCUUCCUGUUCGCUUCUUCAGCAUGCUGCAUCUCUAGGUCCAUAUCCUGCUCCAGGUCCUCUUUGUCAUCUGUUCCAGGUUGGUUGCUUGCUCGGCCUCCCGAGCGUCCACCCCGGCGACCACCGUGCCUUCCACGGCCACGGCCGCCACCCGGUCCUUGACCCACGCGCAUGUUCCAGGUUGCCCUUAGAUCCUUGAAAAACAGAGCUGAUGGGGCAUGUAUUCCAUUCCCAUGUCCCUUGAAGACGUGGCCCAAAUGUCCACACACCGCACACCAAUCCGGGAGCCUUUCAUACUUCACCAAAUAAAUCUGCCUUUCUCCUCCCUGGAUCAUUGAGACUGUGUUCUUCAGGGGCUUAUAAACAUUGAUCUUCACCCAGACCCGGAAUAAGUUCCCGGCAAAAUCUUGAGUGAUUGGUUCCGCAAACAAGACUUCUCCCACCUUUGCUGCUAGCGCACCAACCAGGUGUGCAUACUUAUCCGGAACGUCAUGAAUUUGGAUCCAGAUAUCAAUUGUGUCGAGCUUCACCAUGGUAGGCUUCGUGACACCAUCAUAGGGAACCAACACCACCGCGUUGCCCCUAAAAUUCCAGGGCCCCUCUUGCAUGACUCGUUCCCAGUCGCCUAGGCAAAACAACUGGAGGGAAUACAGAUUGUCCUCCGGCGGACGGAACUUCAUGUCAUGAGCUAGAUCCCAUGCAGCCCGCAUGUUCUUGAAAAACCAGGUUUGGCUAUAGGGUUUAUCGAUGUGAACCCUAGCCAGCGCCACCCACCUUGCAGCAUCUGGUGGCGCAUCCUUCUCGUCGUACACCACAUCAUCAAGAUCUUCCUCCCGCAGACCAAGCUUGGCCAUCAUCCUUUCCACUUCGGUAGCAGUGUUCGGUCCCGAAGACCCAGAUCCAUCUGCUGCCAUAAUCAAAGAAACUUGCCCGAGGAAACUCAGAUCGGGCGAUAAGCUAGGGGGGAACCCUAUCUCUCUUUUCUUCCCAGGACACCGAUCAAGGUCACUCGGCCCUAAUCGUUCAGUCAAGGGAGAUCGAAGGAGGGAAGGUCAAGAAAACUCGACGGCGGCGGCAGAGUCGCCUCCGGGAGAACCAAAACCCUAACUAGAGGGAACGCGGCCAGGCCCUUAUUGGGCGGCUUAAGCUCCAGCGAGCGAAACUGGUGCUCACGCGCACACCUUCGUGGGCUGGCCCAGCCAGCGAACGGACGGUCGCGGUGGAUUCCCCUGGUCGCGGUUGCCAGGCCGCGGUUGACCGAUCUGACUAUUUCACCGUUGACUAUUCAAAAAAGUGUUUUUUAAUCAGGAAUUAGAAAAUUCAUUCACAGAAAAAAGAUCACAGGUUAAACAAAGUUGACGAAUUUAGAAGAAAAAAUCCAUAAAAAUGGAAAAGGUUCAUCGAUCUUUAAAAAAAUCACUCAAUUUGAAAAAAGUUCAUCGAUUUUACAAAAGAAUUUGAUCGAUUUUGAAAAAAAAUAUCACUGAUCUUGAAAAAAAGUUCAUCAAUUUUGGAAAAAAGUUCAUAGAUUUUGAAAACAAAUCAUUGAUUUUGAAAAAAGUUCAUAAGUUUUGAAAAAAUUCCAUUCAAUGUUGAAAAAAAGUUCAUCGGAUAAGAAGAAAGAAAUGCGUUCCAAAGAAAAAAGAAAUAGAAAAGAGAAAAAGAUGUAAGAAGAAAAGAAGGAAGAAAAUGUGAACGAGCACAUCAUGUAAAGGGAGGUGGAUGUGGUGGUUAGUGCAGCGUACGAAUCCAUGAGGUCGCAGGUUCGAAAUACACCUGGCGCACGCAUGAGCAGUUUUCGCCCGCUAGCAAAAUGGUCUAUAUCGGCCGCUUGAAGCGCCAAAUAGGUAUCCAACGCUCCUGGGUCUUGCUUAUAUUAUCUGUUUUGAAUGUUUUAUAUGCAUUAGUAUGCUAUUUUAUAUUAUUUUUGAGACUAACCUAUUAACCUAGAGCCUAGUGCCAAUUCCUAUUUUCCCCCUGUUUUUGGGCUUCGCAGAAAAGGAAUACCAAACGGAAUAAAACCUUCGCGAUGAUUUUUCUUGGACAAGAAGACAACCAGGAGACUUGGAGAUGAAGUCGGAGGAGCCACGAGGCAGCCACAAGGACGGAGGGCGCGCCCAGGGGGGUAGGGCGCGCCCCCACCCUUGUGGGCCCCUCGUGCACCUCCUGACCUAAGUCUUUUGCCUAUGUAUUCCCAUAUAUCCCCAAACCACCAGAGGCAGCCAGGAAAACACUUUUCCACCGCUGCAACCUUCUGUACCCAUGAGAUUCCAUCUAGGGACCUUUUCUGGCGUCCUGCCGGAGGGGUAUUCAAUCACGGAGGGCAUCUACAUCAACACCAUUGCCCUUCCGAUGAAGCGUGGGUAGUUUACCACAGACCUACGGGUCCAUAGCUAGUAGCCAGAUGGCUUCUUCUCUCUCUUUGAUUCUAAAUACCAUGUUCUCCUCGAUGUUCUUAGAGAUCUAUUCGAUGUAAUACUUUUUUGUAGUGUGUUUGCCGAGAUAAGAUGAAUUGUGGAUUUAUGAUCAGCUUAUCUAUGAAUAUUAUUUGAAUCUCCUCUGAAUUCUUAUAUGCAUGAUUUGAUAUCUUUACAAGUCUCUUCGAACUAUCGAUUUGGUUUGGCCAACUAGAUUGGUUUUUCUUGCAAUGGGAGAAGUGCUUAGCUUUGGGUUCAAUCUUGCGGUGUCCUUUCCCAGUGACAGUAGGGGCAGUAAGGCACGUAUUGUAUUGUUGCCAUCGAGGAUAAAAAGAUGGGGUUUACAUCAUAUUACUUGAGUUUAUUCCUCUACAUCAUGUCAUCUUACUUAAUGCGUUACUCUGUUCUUCAUGAACUUAAUACUUUAGAUGUAGGCAGGAGUCGGUCGAUGUGUGGAGUAAUAGUAAUAGAUGCAAGCAUGUGUCGGUCUACUUGACACGGACGUGAUGCCUAUAUUCAUGAUCAUUACCUUAGAUAUCGUCAUAACUUUGCACUUUUCUAUCAAUUGCUCGGCAGUAAUUUGUUCACCCACCGUAAUAUCUUUUAUCUUGAGAGAAGCCUCUAGUGAAACCUAUGGCCCCCGGAUCUACUUUGCAUCAUAUAAGUUUCCGAUCUACAAUUUUAGUUUCCUAUUUACUUUCUUUACAAUCUUUUACUUUCCGUUCCAUAAACCAAAAAUACCAAAAAAUAUAUUACUUUACCAUUUAUCUAUCUCCAUCAGAUCUCACUUUACAAAUAACCAUGAAGGGAUUGACAACCCCUUUAUCGCGUUGGGUGCAAGUUGGUGUUUGUUUGUGCAGGUGAUAACCCACAAGUAUAGGGGACCACAACAGUUUUUGAGGGUAGAGUAUUCAACCCAAAUUUAUAGAUUCGACACAAGGGGAGUCAAAGAAUAUUUGAAGGUAUUAGUAGCUGAGUUGUCGAUUCAACUACACCUGGAGAUUAAUUAUCUGCAGCAAGUAAUCAGUAGCAAAGUAGUAUGAUAGUUUUGAUAAUAGUAGCAGCAGUAACGGUAACGGUAAUAGUGAUAGCAGUAUUUUGUAGCAAAUGUAACAAUGAUGAUAGUAGUAGUAACUUAGCAGAAACAAUAUAAGAUAAAUUCGUAGGCAUUGGACCGGUGACUUGUUGGAUGAUAUUCAUCAUGAGACAGUUAUAACCUAGGGCGAUACGGCACUAGCUCCAGUUUGUCAAUAUAAUGUAGGCAUGUAUUCCGUAAAUAGUCAUACAUGCUUAUGGAAAGAACUUGCAUGACAUCUGUUGUCCUACCCUCCCGUGGCAGCGGGGUCCAUAUUGGAAACUAAGGGAUAUUAAGGCCUACUUUUAAUAGAGAACCGGAACAAAGCAUUAACACAUACUGAAUACAUGAACUCCUCAAACUACGGUAAUCACCGGAAGAAGUCCUGGUUUUUGUCACUCCGGGGUUACCGGAUCAUAACACAUAGUAGGUGACUAUAACUUGCAAGAUCGGAUCUAGAACAUGGAUAUAAUGGUGAUAACAUAAACGGUUCAGAUCUGAAAUCAUGGCACCCGGGCCCAAAGUGACAAGCAUUAAGCAUGGCAAAGUCAUAGCAACACCAAUCUUAGAACAUAGUGGAUACUAGGAAUCAAGCCCUAACAAAACUAACUCGAUUACAUGAUGAAUCUCAUCCAACUCCUCACUGACCAGCGAGCCUACAAAGGAAUUACUCACUCCCGGUGGGGAGCAUCAUGGAAUUGGCGAUGGAGAAGGGUUGGUGAUGACGAAGAACGAAGAUUCCCCUCUCCGGAGCCCCAAACGGACUCCAGAUCUGGCCUCCCAAUGAAGAACAAGAGGUGAUGGCGGCUCUGUCUCAUGGAUCGCGAUAAUUCUUUCUCCCUAACUUUUUUUUCUGAAAAAAUAGGAUUUUAUAGCGUCGGUUUCAGGGUCUGCAGAGCCACCAUGUGGGGACAACCCACCUGGGCGCGCCAGGAGAGGGGGCGCGCCCUGGUGGGUCGUGCCCACCCAGGUGCCCCUCUCCGGCAGGUCUUGGCUCCAGAAAUUCUUAUUUACUGUAUAAAAAUUCCUCGCAAAGUUUCGUUCCAUUCCGAGAACUUUUAUUUCUGCAAAAAAACAACACCAUAGUAGUUGUGACGCCCCGAGACCGACGCUCCGUUUGCCUUCCUUGUUUGGCGAGUCAGCUGUGUUUUAUUUGUCUGUUGCAUUCAUCAUCGCAUCAUUUGCAUUGCAUCGGCACUUCGUUGCCGCCAUGCUUUAAAACUUGCAUCCGCUCGUAGUUGCCGCGUCCCCCCUUGCUUCCGCUGACCCUUCCGAGACCAACCUCGUUCUUCACUUGCUUAAACCGGAGUCCCUCUUUGCACAGUGCUUCGCCCCCUCGCGCGCGUCCGAAAUUUGUCCCGAACCCGAACCGGACUUUCGUUACCGUUGGGUCCGGAUCAUCCCCUAACAUCUACAAAACAUCACCAUUUUCUUUGUUGGACGCCCAUAGCCUAUUUUUUCUCGACCGUUGAUUUCGAUCGGAGGGACUAGCCCCUAACCUAAUUCCCUGCUAUUUAUACUCGAGGUCCAGCCCUAAAAGUUAGGAGGCUUGUCCCAUCCCCAUUCGGCCGCCGCCACUCCAAAAAUCCCCCUCGGGAUCCAUCCCCAACCUACCAGCCUUCUCCUUCCCGAUCCAUCCAACCACCACAGCCCACGCAGACCUCCCCGUUCCCCUCGUCGCGAGCCAGGGAGAGGAGCUCCCUGCCGCCUCCCACCUGCUCGUCCCCGUGCCCACAGCCGCGGAGCUAUAGCCGUCACGCCAAGGCCGGCGCCCCUCUGCUCAGCUCGCCUCGGACCAGCAGCAGGUCUGGACGACCUCAAGCAGGCACGGCCACCCGAGAGGCCUAGCCCCGAUGAGACCCCAUGUCGCCUUCGUCCUUGCCACCUCCGGCCAGAUCCGGAGGUUCGCCGCCCCUCUCCGUCCCCGCAGUCCCGCGUUGCCGCCGCCUUGCUCCGUCCCCGCCGUUUCCUGCCGACGGCCUCCUCUCAAGCCCGGCGCCGCCAAGCUGCUUCCCCGCUGGAUCUCGCCGUCCCGCCAUGAACCCGUCCAGCCAGGUCGCCCCGUCGCGUUUCCCCCUCCUUCCUUGGUUCUCCUUUCUCAUCCCCGUGCCUCAUCUCUCUCUUUUGCGGGUUUCUGCAGGAGCAGCAGCAACCACCAUGGACGCCGCGCCCAUGCCUUCCUCCCCGCCUGGAUCCGACGUGGAUUCGUCGUUUCCCACUACUCCGGCCUCCCUCGCCUUUUCCCGCGUCACCGGAGCCCCGCGUCGCCUCCCUGGAACGAACGUCGUCGCUGCCGUCUCAUGCGUCGAGCCCUCGUUGACCUCUAGCGAACGCCAAGUCCACGGUGUCACCGGCCUCUAUUUCCCUGCUCCAGAUCGAGCGCCUUGCUCGCGUUGACCGUGUCGCUGCCCAGCCGGCCACUCCAGCGCCAAGGCCCGGCCUUCUCCAACCUGCCCCGCGCCCCUCUUGGGUUUCCUCCACCGAACCGGGCCGAAGCCCAUGGGUGAGCUCCGCACAGUCCCUCCUCUCUGUUGCAGCCCCAGGUGGCCACUUCGUCAGCCCGAGCGGCCAGGCCUGCAGCCAGCUCCACCCACGGGCCAAGGCCCAUGGUGAGGCCCCCAGCGCCCUUUGUUUUUUUUCCUCUGUUGGGCUUCCUAUUCACUUUCGGCCCAUGUGAUGUUUUUUUUUCAGGAUCUGCGAAUUUCUCUAUUAUCCAGAGAAUUACAAUUUUACAGUAAAACCCCUCAUGUUCAUGCAUUAAUAAUUAAUUAACCGUGCAUCUUUUGUAAAUAAUUUAUAUAUGUAAAAUGCUCAGAAAUUUGUGUAGUUUAAUAAUAUGCCACUUUCACCCAUGUUAAAAUUGUUUAAAAUGCUGUUUGUUUAAUUUUUCUCAAAUAACAUGUUAAAAUGAUUUAUUUCAUAACUAAUUAACCGUAACUCGGAAUUUAAUAAACUUUAUAUGUAAAUGGGGUAGAAAAAUGCCUAGUUUAACAUGGUGCACUUCAUUUUGCUGUUUAAAAAUAUUAAAAUUGCGUUUAUGGCAGAACAGUACCAAUCCCAAUAUAUGGACAUGAGGAUUUUCCGGAUUUGUUGUUGUUUGUUUCCGGCCUCAUUUAACUUGCUUAAAUAGGUAGUUUCCUUAUGCUUCACCUCUUGCCAUGGUUAACAACAUUUAACAUUGUUGGGUACAUAACGAGAGCGAACUAAAUAAUUAAAUGUGGUGUUUCGUCAAUAUGCAAUGUAGUGUUGUUUGUUGCACUUUGCCAUGCCAUGCCUCUUUAAACCGGACAUGCAUCAUAUUUGUUUUUGCAUCAUGUCAUGUGUAUGUGGUGGUUGUUUACUUUGCUGGUUUUUUUUUCAGUUUGCUUCUCUCGUUAGCUUCGGUUUCGUUCCGGAGUUGUGAGGAUUCGUUCGACUACAUCCGUUUGUCUUCUUCAUGGACUCGUUCUUCUUCCUUGCGGGAUCUCAGGCAAGAUGACCAUACCCUCAAAAUCACUUCUAUCUUUGCUUGCUAGUUGUUCGCUCUAUUGCUAUGCCGCGUUACCUAUUCACUUGCUCUUCAAGCCUCCCAAAUUGCCAUGAAACCACCUCUAACCUUUGUCGCCCUUCCUAGCAAACCGUUGUUUGGCUAUGUUACCGCUUUGCUCAGCCCCUCUUAUAGCGUUGCUAGUUGCAGGUGAAGAUGAAGAUUGCUCCAUGUUGGAUUAUGUUUAUGUUGGGAUAUCACAAUAUCUCUUAUUUAUUUAAUGCAUCUAUAUACUUGGUAAAGGGUGGAAGGCUCGGCCUUAUGCCUGGUGUUUUGUUCCACUCUUGCCGCCCUAGUUUCCGUCUUACCGGUGUUAUGUUCCUUGAUUUUUGCGUUCCUUAGCGGUUGGGUGUUUUAUGGGACCCCCUUGACAGUUCGCUUUGAAUAAAACUCCUCCAGCAAGGCCCAACCUUGGUUUUAUCAUUUGCUACCACCUAUCCCCUUUUCCCUUGGGUUCUGCAGACUCAAGGGUCAUCUUUAUUUUAGACCCCCCCGGGCCAGUGCUCCUUCGAGUGUUGGUCCGAACCGAGCAGCCUGCGGGGCCACCUCGGGGAAACUCGAGGUCUGGUUUUACUCGUAGCUUGACUUAUCCGGUGUGCCCUGAGAACGAGAUAUGUGCAGCUCCUAUCGGGAUUUGUCGGCACAUUCGGGCGGCUUUGCUGGUCUUGUUUUACCAUUGUCGAAAUGUCUUGUAAACCGGGAUUCCGAGACUGAUCGGGUCUUCCUGGGAGAAGGUUUAUCCUUCAUUGACCGUGAGAGCUUAUGAUGGGCUAAGUUGGGACACCCCUGCAGGGUAUUAUCUUUCGAAAGCCGUGCCCGCGGUUAUGUGGCAGAUGGGAAUUUGUUAAUGUCCGGUUGUAGAGAACUUGACACUCGACUUAAUUAAAAUACAUCAACCGCAUGUGUAGCCGUGAUGGUCUCUUGUCGGCGGAGUCCGGGAAGUGAACACGGUUUCUGGGUUAUGUUUGACGUAAGUAGGAGUUCAGGAUCACUUCUUGAUCAUUGCUAGUUCACGACCGUUCCGUUGCUUCUCUUCUCGCUCUCCUUUGCGUAUGUUAGCCACCAUAUAUGCUUAGUGCUUGCUGCAGCUCCACCUCAUUACACCAUCCUUUCCUAUAAGCUCAAAUAGUCUUGAUCUCGCGGGUGUGAGAUUGCUGAGUCCUCGUGACUCACAGAUACUUUCAAAACAGUUGCAGGUGCCGAUGAGACCAGUGCAGAUGACGCAACCGAGCUCAAGUGGGAGCUCGAUGAAGAUCUUGUCCGUUGUGUUGUUUCUUUUCAUAUUGAUCAGUAGUGGAGCCCAGUUGGGACGAUCAGGGAUCUGGCAGUUGGGUUGUCUUCUUUUCUUUUGGUUCCGUAGUCGGACCUAUGUGUGUAUCUCUGAAUGAUGUAUGUUUUAUUUAUGUAUUGUGUGAAGUGGCGAUUGUAAGCCAACUCUUUAUCCCAUUCUUGUUCAUUACAUGGGAUUGUGUGAAGAUGACCCUUCUUGCGACAAAACCACAAUGCGGUUAUGCCUCUAAGUCGUGCCUCGACACGUGGGAGAUAUAGCCGCAUCGUGGGUGUUACAAGUUGGUAAUCAGAGCCAUCCCCGACUUAGGAGCCCCCUGCUUGAUCGAAUCGCUGGCGUUGUUGAGUCUAGAACAAAAAUGUUUUGAGUCUUAGGAUUAUAUAUAUCGGAGAGUAGGAUUCUUUUUACUCCUCAGUCCCUUCGUCGCUCUGGUGAGGUCUCCUGACAUAGAAGUUUUGACUAUUCUCUCCUCAAAUUUCACUAAAAAAAAUUUAGGAUCACGCGGGUAUCUUGGAAUCGUUCCGAUGGUUUUGUGACGAGAACAUUGUUCUUGGUGCCUCCUGACAUUUAGGGGUUGUGGCAGUGUCCCGGGGAGUUGAGCUCCGAGGUGUUGUCGUCACAAUUUUAUCGUUGCAGUUCUGGAAUACCUGAGUUUCGCCGACAUCGAAAUCUCUUUUAUGCAGUUGUUGGUGAGAUCACCUCGACGCCACCCAGUACUGGGGCGGGAGUUCGGGAGUAUUGCCAUAACUUGUAUAACGGAUGUUUUUUCGAAGGUUGAGGUAAACGAUUUCCGGAGUUUUCUUGGUUAUGUGUUGACGGAUGGAUACAGCUGGAUCUAGGUAUUGUUAGUUUGGGUGAUAUAUUUUGUGUCCCCUGUAUCCCCAACACCAGAUUGCAUAACCAGAAAGUUUCGGGAGUUUAUAAGUGGGAAUUCAAGUAGCUCUUAGGAUAUCUUUCCGACAGAUGCAUGAUAUGAGAUUGGGGUUCGACGUCUAGUGGUCCGCCUGUACACGGUUGAUUUUACAGUGGUCUCGUAGUUUCUUAAAGAGUCCAUGGCUAUGCCGACUCGGGGACGCUUCGUAUGUCAUGUGCACUGCCUUGUACAUGAUGGUGCUGUACGAUCGAGCCCGUGUGGGCCCCACCACGAAAAUUUUGGACGGAAUCUCUAUCAUAUGUUUGUUCCGGCUUAUUCUGCAAGCCAAAUCCCUUGUUUUGUUUUAUUUGUGGUAUUCGAGUUGCUUCAAUGACAAGUGUUGAUUCCAUACCUUAUUCUAAGUGGUGUUCUCAUAUUUCUAUGUGGAUGAUAAUCCUUCUUGAUCAUCGAGGUCGUCAUGUUAAUUCCUUCCAACCGGCGUGUUUCUCUUCAAGAUGAUCCCAUCAUUCUCCCCAUCCGCAAGAUCAAUUCUAAGCGUUUUCUCAACGGUGUUUGUUUCAUCCGUCCCAAGGUGACUUUGUUUUUCCCGCCCUCCCACCCUUUUUCUUCAAGGACUCAGAUUUAUUAAUCAAGUAUCCUUUUUAUUGAUGCAAAGUCUCUUCAUUCUUUUCUUUCAAUGUUCUUACCCGGUGGUUCUCAUGAAGUUGUUCUUCAAGUUUAUCAUUCUUCAUGCUUUUUCUUCUCCGGUGGAUUCAAUUCAAGCUUUGUCGAUCAUAUUCUUUCCUUGUUUCAAAUGCUUUCUCAUGCUGGUGUACCUUUUAAUCAUCCACUUCUCGCCAUUCAUUGGUUCCGGAGUGUACAAGAUAUCUCAGAAGAUUUGUGUAUCCAUUAUCAAUCUGUUCAAGCUAUUCUGAGGUUGUUAUCUCAUUAAAGCCAUUUAAUUCAACCGGUGUAUUCUAUCUUUCAAGCAAUCUUUCCAACGGUGUUUCUUUUGAGUGGGCCCUAACCCACAGGUCUUUUUUUCCAGGAUCUUACCUGACUCUUCUAAUUCUUUCCGGAGUUAUUCUCAAAUUCAUUGCAAAGUUUGACGUAAGAAUGAGUUAUCAUCAGUCAUAUUUCUUCUCCAAGAUCGCUUUCAAAUUCUUUUCAUCGUUGGUUCAACCUUUCUAAUUUUUCAUCCCGGAGUAUCUCAAUAAUUAAUGGUGGUGUUUCUCAUCAUCAUUCUCCGCAUUUGAAGACCGAAGAAGAAUUUCUCUUGAAUCUUGGUCCAUUCUCUUGAAGAUUCAUGGUUCUAGCUUAUGCCAUCCUCUCAUAAUUGUUUUCGAUUGUGAGAAUUCUUCUCAUACCCAUCCGGAGCAUUUCAUGAGUUGUUUUCAUUUCUUGAUCAUCCAAAGGCCAUCAUUUCAGAAGAUUUCUUCGUUCUAAGUUUUCAGCUUCGUUCUUCAAUUAUUCUAAAUUGAAGUCUUCUUCGGUCACCUCCAUAUUAUUCCGGUGCACCGUUCAAAUAUCCUCUAGUCAGCUCGUGAUCUAUUCGUUCUCAUGUAUCUAAUUCCCUCAAGUUUUUUCGCGUUCUUUAAUUCUUACGGUGUUUCAUCCUCUUUUCUUCAAUUGUUUUCAAUUCUCGCGGUGGUUCGUUCAAAAUUUUCUCUUCCUUCGUUAUCAUAUCAAUUUAUUCGUUGUUUCAAUCCUACCGGUGGUUCGAUAAAGACCUUCCCAAGUUUGUGCAAUAUCUAUCUUAAUCCUUUCUACGAGAAUAAGUAGUAUGCAAGAUCCGUUGAUUGUCAUCAAUCUAAAUUGGUGAAGGAUACGCGUAAUGUAAUUCUUAUUCUUGUUUCAUCCAAGUGUUUAAUCCUUUCUUUUGGAGUUCGUUCAUGAUAUCAAAUUCUCGGUUCCAAGUUGUUCAUCUUUUCUUUCCGGAGCUUCAAGUUAUUUCAAUUAUAUCAUUUCAAAGCUUCAUCUAAUCAUUGCAAGGCUUCUCCUGGAGUUCUUUUCAAUUUUCCCUUUCGUUUGAUCAUUCUUUUAUUAUCGGAGUUCUUCAUGGAGGAUCAACAUGGUGGCUCAUCAAGGAUUCCUUUCAUUCUUCAAUUGUUCGUCAAGAUUUCUCUCGGAGUUAUGAUCCGCCAAGCUAUACUCUUAAAUAAACAUGGUGUUCAACACAUGUUUUGUUUUGAGGAGUUCAAGCAUUCUUCAUCUUGCAUUCUGAAGUGCAAUUCUCUCUAUCUUAUCUUUUGGGAUGGUGUUAUGUCAAUUUUGACAAUUUCCUUCAUGUUUCAUGAUUCACAAGUUGUCCGGAAUGACAUAUUUUAAAACCAUCAAUUUCUAUUCGUUCACGAGAUCUUUUCAAUCCUUUAAUCUCUUCGUUGGAUCUAUCUUGUGUCAUGUUUCACCUAAAGCCUUCCCUAAGGAAUAUUGCUAUUAUGGUGUCUAUCAAUGAUCCAAAAUUUCUCCUAUCCUCUCGGCGAGAGAAGUUUUCAUCUCUUCGUUGAUCUCAAGCAAGCAAUUGUUUUUGUUAGUGGCAGAAUUUCACCUCAAGUUUUGAGAUGUUUUCCAUAAGCCCACUACAAGCUUGUUCUUUUAGUUGUUGGUUUUUUCCAACAACUCCGUUAUAACCUUCUUGCAAGGAUACUUUCCAAAGUCAUUUGUGGAAGGUGUUGUCAUUUUCUUCUCCAUUCUUUAUUCCAAGGAUCUAUCUUCCGGAGGCAUUGUGAUGUUGCUCUCUUCACUCAUCUUCUCGGUUUGUGAGGACCGUGUUCUUUUCAUGCUUAUCCAUUUUCAACCGGAGUGUCGUGCCCUCUUUUCAAGUUCUUCCCAUUCUGGCAAGUUUUGCCUCCCUUCUCAACCGGAGUGCUGUCUGAAAUCUUUCUUACCCCUUGUGCCAUUCUUUCUUUAGUUCCGGAGGCAAUGUGUUGUUAAUUUCAUCGAGUAUCCUCUCAUCUUGUCAAGAUCAUGUUCAAUUCCUUCCAUUUACAGUCGGAGUGCUGCCCAAAUUAUAUCAUUCUUAUUCCUUCCUAUCUUGUUUUAACCGGAGUGGUUUAAAUAUCUAUCGUGUCAAUUAACCUCAAGGUUCACAUGGUGUUCCUUGUCUCUCUUUUCUAUCGGUGUGCUUUCAUAUUCCUUUUGAUCCGUUAAGCUCUCGUUUCAUAUUCUUCAACCUACAAAGGUUCUCGCAAUGUUCAUUGUUCCUCUUGCUGAACGGAGUGUUUUAAAUUUUGUUCAUCUCCGUUGUGUCAUUUCCUCAAGCUUUGCAACCUCUCAAGGUUCUUUGGUUUCACUCGUUUGUCAAAGAAGCAACUUAGCUUUACCUUUUCUCUUCCUCUUCCGUUUUUCUCCGGUGCCAUCCUAGAUCUCGGGACGAGAUCCUCUUGUAGUGGUGGAGUGUUGUGACGCCCCGAGACCGACGCUCCGUUUGCCUUCCUUGUUUGGCGAGUCAGCUGUGUUUUAUUUGUGUGUUGCACUCAUCAUCGCAUCAUUUGCAUUGCAUCGGCACUUCGUUGCCGCCAUGCUUUAAAACUUGCAUCCGCUCGUAGUUGCCGCAUCCCCCCUUGCUUCCGCUGACCCUUCUGAGACCAACCUCGUUCUUCGUUUUCCCUCUUGCUUAAACCGGAGUCCCUCUUUGCAAAGUGCUUCGCCCCCUCGCGCGCGUCCGAAAUUUGUCCCGAACUCGAACCGGACUUUCGUUACCGUUGGGUCCGGAUCAUCCACUAACAUCUACAAAACAUCACCGUUUUCUUUGUUGGACGCCCAUAGCCUAUUUUUUCUCGACCGUUGAUUUCGAUCGGAGGGACUAGCCCCUAACCUAAUUCCCUGCUAUUUAUACACGAGGUCCAACCCUAAAAGUUAGGAGGCUUGUCCCAUCCCCAUUCGGCCACCGCCACUCCAAAAAUCCCCCUCGGGAUCCAUCCCCAACCUACCAGCCUUCUCCUUCCCGAUCCAUCCAACCACCACAACCCACGCAGACCUCCCCGUUCCCCUCGUCGCGAGCCAGGGAGAGGAGCUCCCUGCCGCCUCCCACCUACUCGUCCCCGUGCCCACAGCCGCGGAGCUAUAGCCGUCACGCCAAGGCCGGCGCCCCUCUGCUCAGCUCGCCUCGGACCAGCAGCAGGUCUGGACGACCUCAAGCAGGCACGGCCACCCGAGAGGCCUAGCCCCGAUGAGACCCCAUGUCGCCUUCGUCCUUGCCACCUCCGGCCAGAUCCGGAGGUUCGCCGCCCCUCUCCGUCCCCGCAGUCCCGCGUUGCCGCCGCCUUGCUCCGUCCCCGCCGUUUCCUGCCAACGGCCUCCUCUCAAGCCCGGCGCCGCCAAGCUGCUUCCCCGCUGGAUCUCGCCGUCCCGCCAUGAACCCGUCCAGCCAGGUCGCCCCGUCGCGUUUCCCCCUCCUUCCUUGGUUCUCCUUUCUCAUCCCCGUGCCUCAUCUCUCUCUUUUGCGGGUUUCUGCAGGAGCAGCAGCAACCACCAUGGACGCCGCGCCCAUGCCUUCCUCCCCGCCUGGAUCCGACGUGGAUUCGUCGUUUCCCACUACUCCGGCCUCCCUCGCCUUUUCCCGCGUCACCGGAGCCCCGCGUCGCCUCCCUGGAACGAACGUCGUCGCUGCCGUCUCAUGCGUCGAGCCCUCGUUGACCUCUAGCGAACGCCAAGUCCACGGUGUCACCGGCCUCUAUUUCCCUGCUCCAGAUCGAGCGCCUUGCUCGCGUUGACCGUGUCGCUGCCCAGCCGGCCACUCCAGCGCCAAGGCCCGGCCUUCUCCAACCUGCCCCGCGCCCCUCUUGGGUUUCCUCCACCGAACCGGGCCGAAGCCCAUGGGUGAGCUCCGCACAGUCCCUCCUCUCUGUUGCAGCCCCAGGUGGCCACUUCGUCAGCCCGAGCGGCCAGGCCUGCAGCCAGCUCCACCCACGGGCCAAGGCCCAUGGUGAGGCCCCCAGCGCCCUUUGUUUUUUUCCUCUGUUGGGCUUCCUAUUCACUUUCGGCCCAUGUGAUGUUUUUUUUUCAGGAUCUGCGAAUUUCUCUAUUAUCCAGAGAAUUACAAUUUUACAGUAAAACCCCUCAUGUUCAUGCAUUAAUAAUUAAUUAACCGUGCAUCUUUUGUAAAUAAUUUAUAUAUGUAAAAUGCUCAGAAAUUUGUGUAGUUUAAAAAUAUGCCACUUUCACCCAUGUUAAAAUUGUUUAAAAUGCUGUUUGUUUAAAUUUGCUCAAAUAACAUGUUAAAAUGAUUUAUUUCAUAACUAAUUAACCGUAACUCGGAAUUUAAUAAACUUUAUAUGUAAAUGGGGUAGAAAAAUGCCUAGUUUAACAUGGUGCACGUCAUUUUGCUGUUUAAAAAUAUUAAAAUUGUGUUUAUGGCAGAACAGUACCAAUCCCAAUAUAUGGACAUGAGGAUUUUCCGGAUUUGUUGUUGUUUGUUUCCGGCCUCAUUUAACUUGCUUAAAUAGGUAGUUUCCUUAUGCUUCACCUCUUGCCAUGGUUAAUAACAUUGAACAUUGUUGGGUACAUAACGAGAGCGAACUAAAUAAUUAAAUGUGGUGUUUCGUCAAUAUGCAAUGUAGUGUUGUUUGUUGCACUUUGCCAUGCCAUGCCUCUUUAAACCGGACAUGCAUCAUAUUUGUUUUUGCAUCAUGUCAUGUGUAUGUGGUGGUUGUUUACUUUGCUGUUUUUUUUUUCGGUUUGCUUCUCUCGUUAGCUUCGGUUUCGUUCCGGAGUUGUGAGGAUUCGUUCGACUACAUCCGUUUGUCUUCUUCAUGGACUCGUUCUUCUUCCUUGCGGGAUCUCAGGCAAGAUGACCAUACCCUCGAAAUCACUUCUAUCUUUGCUUGCUAGUUGUUCACUCUAUUGCUAUGCCGCGUUACCUAUUCACUUGCUCUUCAAGCCUCCCAAAUUGCCAUGAAACCACCUCUAACCUUUGUCACCCUUCCUAGGAAACCGUUGUUUGGCUAUGUUACGGCUUUGCUCAGCCCCUCUUAUAGCGUUGCUAGUUGCAGGUGAAGAUGAAGAUUGCUCCAUGUUGGAUUAUGUUUAUGUUGGGAUAUCACAAUAUCUCUUAUUUAUUUAAUGCAUCUAUAUACUUGGUAAAGGGUGGAAGGCUCGGCCUUAUGCCUGGUGUUUUGUUCCACUCUUGCCGCCCUAGUUUCCGUCUUACCGGUGUUAUGUUCCUUGAUUUUUGCGUUCCUUACGCGGUUGGGUGUUUUAUGGGACCCCCUUGACAGUUCGCUUUGAAUAAAACUCCUCCAGCAAGGCCCAACCUUGGUUUUAUCAUUUGCUACCACCUAUCCCCUUUUCCCUUGGGUUCUGCAGACUCAAGGGUCAUCUUUAUUUUAGACCCCCCGGGCCAGUGCUCCUUCGAGUGUUGGUCCGAACCGAGCAGCCUGCGGGGCCACCUCGGGGAAACUCGAGGUCUGGUUUUACUCGUAGCUUGACUUAUCCGGCGUGCCCUGAGAACGAGAUAUGUGCAGCUCCUAUCGGGAUUUGUCGGCACAUUCGGGCGGCUUUGCUGGUCUUGUUUUACCAUUGUCGAAAUGUCUUGUAAACCGGGAUUCCAAGACUGAUCGGGUCUUCCUGGGAGAAGGUUUAUCCUUCGUUGACCGUGAGAGCUUAUGAUGGGCUAAGUUGGGACACCCCUGCAGGGUAUUAUCUUUCGAAAGCCGUGCCCGCGGUUAUGUGGCAGAUGGGAAUUUGUUAAUGUCCGGUUGUAGAGAACUUGACACUCGACUUAAUUAAAAUACAUCAACCGCGUGUGUAGGCGUGAUGGUCUCUUGUCGGCGGAGUCCGGGAAGUGAACACGGUUUCUGGGUUAUGUUUGACGUAAGUAGGAGUUCAGGAUCACUUCUUGAUCAUUGCUAGUUCACGACCGUUCCGUUGCUUCUCUUCUCGCUCUCCUUUGCGUAUGUUAGCCACCAUAUAUGCUUAGUGCUUGCUGCAGCUCCACCUCAUUACACCAUCCUUUCCUAUAAGCUCAAAUAGUCUUGAUCUCGCGGGUGUGAGAUUGCUGAGUCCUCGUGACUCACAGAUACUUUCAAAACAGUUGCAGGUGCCGAUGAGACCAGUGCAGAUGACGCAACCGAGCUCAAGUGGGAGCUCGAUGAAGAUCUUGUCCGUUGUGUUGUUUCUUUUCAUAUUGAUCAGUAGUGGAGCCCAGUUGGGACGAUCAGGGAUCUGGCAGUUGGGUUGUCUUCUUUUCUUUUGGUUCCGUAGUCGGACCUAUGUGUGUAUCUCUGAAUGAUGUAUGUUUUAUUUAUGUAUUGUGUGAAGUGGCGAUUGUAAGCCAACUCUUUAUCCCAUUCUUGUUCAUUACAUGGGAUUGUGUGAAGAUGACCCUUCUUGCGACAAAACCACAAUGCGGUUAUGCCUCUAAGUCGUGCCUCGACACGUGGGAGAUAUAGCCGCAUCGUGGGUGUUACAGUAGUUCUGCUGAAAACAGCGUCAGUCCGGGGUUAGUUUCAUUCAAAUCAGGCAAAUUAGAGUCCAAAACAAGAGGAAAAGUAGAUAUGUUGGAGACGUAUCAACUCCCCCAAGCUUAAACCUUUGCUUGUCCUCAAGCAAUUCAGUUCAUAAAUGAAAGUGAAAAGAAGAACUUUUACGAAUUCUAUUGCUCUUGUUUGCAUAAAUAAGCUUAAACAGCACCCUAGUUUUCGGCCAACAUUAUAACUAACCAUGCCAACAAUAACUCUUAAAGAUUAUAAUGACUCAUAUCAAUGACAUAAUCAGCUAGCGAGCAAUAAUAAGGUAUCUCAAACGGCAACACAUUGUCAAAACAAUCAUGAUAUAAUAUGAUAAUAGUGGUAUCUCGCUAGCCCUUUAUGAGACCGCAAAAUAUAAAUGCAGAGCACCUCCAAAGUUCAAGUAGCGACUAAACAUUGUAAUUCAUGUUAGAAAAGAUCCAGUCAUGAUGCACCCAACAUUAGCUACACACAAUGCAUAAGUCAUGACAGCUGUGCUCUCAGGUUCUAGCGCUUGUUUCUUUUUUUUGACUGAAUACAGUGAGGCAAAAGCCCCACAACCUUUUAUUAAAUAAAACCACUAAGGGUCCUUACAAUGAACAAAACAUAAAAUAACUUACCUAUACAAACUUACUAUUUACAAAAAUAUACAAGGUUACCCUCUAAACAACACUGAGGCAGAUUCUCAAUCCAUGUUAGGAGGAGAGGUCUCACAGAGGUCUUAAACCUAUGUGACAGCAGGGUAAUAUCAUGGAUGAAAUUCCACUUUCAUGCUCCAAAAGUUGGUUGCUCAUCCCUGAAAAUUCUGCCAUUUCUGAUCAGCCAUAUGUUCCAAGAUGCAACAAAAACUACCUCAAGGAAGAAAGGAUGCCCAAAACUUCUGCUUGCCUGCAAGAUGCAUUUUUUGGGAGAUAAACCUUGUUGCCAAAGGAUCUGAAGAUAGUUCCGAACUCUGGUAGCAAAAACACAUGUAAAAAUUAAAUGAUCCCGAGCUUCCAGAGUUUGAGUUGGGCAAAUUGGACAAUUGUUGUCCUCAUCCAGAGAUCUCCAAUGCCUCCUCAAGAGCAUAUCCCUGGUAUUCAAUCUAUCAUUUAACAGCAACCAUGCAAACACCUUGAUUUUCAUAGUGCAUCUGCUACUCCACAACCAUUUGCUCGGCUCAUCCGGGGGCAUAUGAGCAUGCAUCACUUUGUAAUAACUCUUUGCUGAGAAAGGACCCUUGGCAGGAACCCAGUUCCAGAUGUCAUUGUCAAUAUCAUUUCUCUGCAUUGAAUUUAACCCAGCUAGAAUGUCAUGAAACUCAGUCAAGGCUUCCAUUGAUAGGGGUAGGUGAAAAAGAUCAGCUGGGUCUGGAUUGAGAGCAAAAUCUUGGACAGAUAUCUUGUCAUCAAUGACAUAUGAGAACAGUCUAGGAUAUCUUUCUUUUAUAGGGUUAGAAUUUCCCAUGAAGUGUCAAGUUUCAUGCUAGAAAAGGGCAGAAUCUCCCCUAUGAACUAUGAUCUUAGAGUGAGCUCUGAAAGUGUCAUUCAAUUUCAUUAUAUCCCUCCACCAAAAGGAAUCACAAAGAAUAGUGGCAUGUGGUACUCAACCAUCAUAGUAUGUUGACCAGAUUAAAGAAACCCAAGGUAUAUCAGCCUUAUUAUAGAAUUUCGACAGAUGCUUUGUAAGGAGAGCCUUGUUCUGCACUGCCAGAUUUAGGAUCCCCAUACCACCAUUCUCCUUGGGUCUGCAAACCAUAGGCCAAGUAGCUAAGGAUUGCUUAGGUGUGUCCGAAUUACCUCUCCACAAGCACUGCCUUAGAAUCCUCUCAAGCUGUUUUAUGAUACCCAAAGGGAGGCUCAGGCUGCAUAAGAAAUAGAUUGGCAUGGAUGAUAAUGCAGAUAAAACCAACUGCAGUCUUGACCCUUGAGAUAAAAAGCAAGAAGUUGUUGUCAACCUUCUUUCCAUUCUAUCCACCACUGGUACCAAGUCUUGAAUUCUGGGUUUGGUGGUGCCAACUGGGAGGCCUAGGUAAGUGAAAGGUAAAGAUCCCACUUGACAUCCAAAAAGUGUAGCCAAUCUAGCAGUUUCCACAGUGUCCACAUUAAUUGGGAGAAUACAGGAUUUGUGAAAAUUCACCUUAAGACUAGUUGAGGCCUGAAAAUCCAGUAGCAUGUUUUUGAGAGAAACAAUCUGGGCAUCAACAACAGGUAUAAUUAGUAACGUAUCAUCAGCAUACUGGACUAUAGGAAAAUCAGGGUUAUUUGUCUCAAUGGGCAAGGUCAGUUCUCCUCUGGUGAGCAUAUCAUUAGUAACUAACUGCAGUAGAUCAGUAGCAAUAACAAAUAACAUAGGUGAGAGUGGAUCACCUGCCAAACACCAGUCUUGCAUUCAAACUAUUUUCCAGGUACUCCAUUGAGAAGAACAGAUGAAGAACCAGAACCCAAAUGUUCUUUAACCCAGGAUAUCCACUUAUCAUCAAAACCCUUGUACUUUAACAUCAGAAGAAUCAAAUCACGCUCUACAGUGUCAAAGGCCUUGGCAAAAUCAAGCUUUAGGAUCAAUAUUGGCUUCCUGGAUGCAUGACAUUGGUGAAGAUACUCAAGUGUCCAUGCAAUACAAUCUUGAAUUGAUCCACUCUUGAGGAAACCAUAUUGAUUUUUUUGUAUACAGGCCAAGAUAACUUUCAGCAACGUAUUAGACAAGUAUUUGUCAAAGAGAUUGGCCUAAAAUCGUUGGGACCCUCAGGAGAAAGAAUCUUUGGUAUGAGGGUGAUUAGGGAACCAUUAAUACUAGCAAGGCUAACAUUCCCUGCCCAGAAAUCAUUUAUGAGCUACAUGAAAUCUUCCUUAAUUAUAUGCCAACAUCUUUUUACAAACAGUCCAGUAAAACCAUCAGGACUAGGUGCUCUGUCAACUGGUAAUUCCUUCAACACUGUGUUGAUUUCAUCCUGGGUAAAGGGGGAUGAGAGAGAUUCUAAUCAUGGUACUUGAUGAAUGAGAUUUUGCAGGUCAAACUGAAGGAAAUAUGCCCUAGAGGCAAUAAUAAAGUUAUUAUUUAUUUCCUUAUAUCAUGAUAAAUGUUUAUUAUUCAUGCUAGAAUUGUAUUAACCGGAAACAUAAUAAUUGUGUGAAUACAUAGACAAACAGAGUGUCACUAGUAUGCCUCUACUUGACUAGCUCGUUGAUCAAAGAUGGUUAUGUUUCCUAACCAUAGACAUGAGUUGUCAUUUGAUUAAAGGGAUCACAUCAUUAGGAGAAUGAUGUGAUUGACUUGACCCAUUCCGUUAGCUUAGCACUUGAUCGUUUUAGUAUUCUGCUAUUGCUUUCUUCAUGACUUAUACAUGUUCCUAUGACUAUGAGAUUAUGCAACCCCCGUUUACCGGAGGAACACUUUGUGUGCUACCAAACAUCACAACGUAACUAAGUGAUUAUAAAGGUGCUCUACAGGUGUCUUCGAAGGUACUUGUUGGGUUGGCAUAUUUCGAGAUUAGGAUUUGUCACUCCGAUUGUCGGAGAGGUAUCUCUGGGCCCACUCGGUAAUGCACAUCACUAUAAGCCUUGCAAGCAUUGUAACUAAUGAGUUAGUUGCGGGAUGAUGCAUUACAGAACGAGUAAAGAGACUUGCCGGUAACGAGAUUGAACUAGGUAUUGAGAUACCAACGAUCGAAUCUCGGGCAAGUAACAUACCGAUGACAAAGGGAACAACGUAUAUUGUUAUGCGGUUUGACCGAUAAAGAUCUUCGUAGAAUAUGUGGGAUCCAAUAUGAACAUCCAGGUUCCGCUAUUGGUUAUUGACCAGAGACGUGUCUCGGUCAUGUCUACAUAGUUCUCGAACCCGUAGGGUCCGCACGCUUAAAGUUUGAUGACGAUCGGUAUUAUGAGUUUUGUGUUUUGAUGUACCGAAGGUAGUUCAGAGUCCCGGAUGUGAUCACGGACAUGACGAGGAGUCUCGAAAUGGUCGAGAGAUAAAGAUCGAUAUAUUGGACGACUAUAUUCGGACACCGGAAGUGUUCCGGGUGAUUUCGGAGAAAACCGGAGUGCCGGAGGGUUACCGGAACCCCCCCGGGAGAAGUAAUGGGCCUUAUGGGCCUUGGUGGAGAGAGAGGGCUGGCCGCGCGCCCCUCCCCCCUUGGUCCGAAUUGGACUAGGAGAGGGGGGGGGGGCGGCGCCCCCCUUUCCUUCUCCCUCUCCCCCUUCCUUUCCCCCUCCUAGUAGGAGUAGGAAAGAGGGGGUCCUACUCCUACUAGGAGGAGGACUCCUCCUCCUGGCGCGCCCCCUAGGGCCGGCCUCCUCCCCCUGCUCCUCUAUAUACGGGGGUAGAUCAUAUGUUCAGAUCCUAUAUGCAUAUUAUUACCCCUCUGAUUAUGAACAUGAAUAUGCUUUGUGAGUAGUUACGUUUGUUCCUGAGGACAUGGGAGAAGUCUUGCUAUUAGUAGUCAUGUGAAUUUGGUAUUCGUUCGAUAUUUUGAUGAGAUGUAUGUUGUCUCUCCUCUAGUGGUGUUAUGUGAACGUCGACUACAUGACACUUCACCGUUAUUUGGGCCUAGAGGAAGGCAUUGGGAAGUAAUAAGUAGAUGAUGGGUUGCUAGAGUGACAGAAGCUUAAACCCUAGUUUAUGCGUUGCUUCGUAAGGGGCUGAUUUGGAUCCAUAUGUUUCAUGCUAUGGUUAGGUUUACCUUAAUACUUCUUUUGUAGUUGCGGAUGCUUGCAAGAGUCGUUAAUCAUAAGUGGGAUGUUUGUCCAAGUAAGGGCAACACCCAAGCACCGUCCACCCACAUACCAAAUUAUCAAAGUAACGAACACGAAUCAUAUGAACGUGAUGAAAACUAGCUUGAUGAUAAUUCCCAUGUGUCCUCGGGAGCAUUUUCCUUCAUAUAAGAAAUUGUCCAGGCUUGUCCUUUGCUACAAAAAGGAUUGGUCCACCUUGCUGCACUUUAUUUACAUUUGUUACUCGUUACUUGCUACCAAUUAUCUUAUCACAAAACUAUCUGUUACCUAUAAUUUCAGUGCUUGCAGAGAAUACCUUACUGAAAACCGCUUGUCAUUUCCUUCUGCUCCUCGUUGGGUUCGACACUCUUACUUAUCGAAAGGACUACGAUAGAUCCCCUGUACUUGUGGGUCAUCAUGCAUCACCAUGAUCUUGCGUGUGCGUAGGAUUUUUUUGAAAUUACUACGUUCCCCAACACAAACUUCAUAUCAAUAGCAGAUGCAACUCCCAUUCUAUUCUUAAAAGAUCCCCACAAGAGACCAGCCAUCUGAUGAUGUUCAGACACCACAAUCCCAUCCUCAUUUUUCAAGCUAGAAAUAGCAUUCCUUCUGAAUCUUUUAGUUGCCAUUGCCUGAAAGAAUUUGGAGUUUUCCUCCCCUACUUUAAUCCAUCUAAUGGUACACCUUUGUUUCCAAUAUACAUAUUGCACAUGAAGCAAACCCUCCAGGUGUAAUUUAACAAUUUUCCUAAAAUUGAAUUCAGGUCUUGAGAGUGGUCUCUGGUCCUCAAGAUUAUCAAAAGCCAGAAUAAUGGCAUUACAUGCUUGCAUCAACAACUUCAUCUUAGACAGACUAGUGUACCAUUGCUUUAGAGCAUAUCUGAGCCUCUUAAACUUCUCAUUAAGUAUUGCAACACUAUUCCUUUUCCUGGUUGGGGCAUGAUAACCCACAAGUAUAGGGGAUCAAUUGUAGCCUCUUUCGAUAAGUAAGAGUGUCGAACCCAACGAGGAGCUAAAGGUAGAACAAAUAUUCCCUCAAGUUUUAUCGACCAUCGAUACAACUCUACGCACGCUUAAUGUUCGCUUUACCUUGAACAAGUAUGAAACUAGAAAUACUUUGUAGGUGUUGUUGGAUAGGUUUGCUAGAUAAUAAAGAGCACGUAAAUAAAAAGUAGGGGCUGUUUAGAUAAAGAAGCAAUAAAGUAAAUAUAGCGAGUGUGGGAAAGUGGUGGUAGGCGUUGCGAAAUUGUCCCUAAGCAAUUGACUACUUUACUAGACCGAUAGAUGGGGGAAGGUGAUGAAGAUGUUGGUGAAGAUGACGGAGGUGUUGGUGUAGAUCGCCGUCGCACGAUGAUGGCCCCGGUGGCACUCCGGCGCCACCGGAAGCGAGGGGGAGAGAGCCCCCCUCCUUCUACUUCUUCCUUGGCCUUCUCCCUAGGUGGGAGAAGGGUUCUCCCUCUGGUCAUUGGUCUCCAUGGCAUGGGAGGGGCGAGAGCCCCUCCGAGAUUGGAUCUGUCUCUCUGUCUCUCUCUGUUUCUGCGUUCCAGAUUCUGGCCCUUCACCGUUUCUUAAAUUCCCAGAGAUCCGUAACUCCGAUUGGGCUGAAAUUUGGACACGUUUUUAUCCGGAUAUUGGCUUUCUUGCUGCGAAAGAAGGGCACCAACCACCUUACGGAGUGGCCACGAGGGCCCAGGGUGCGCCUGACCCCCUGAGGCGCGCCCCUCACCCUCGUGGGCCCCUCGGGCAUCGUCUCGCGUUGAUUCCACUUCCCAAAAUUCACAUAUAUUCCAAAAAAAUCUCCGUCAGUUUUUAUCCCGUUUGGACUCCGUUUGAUAUGGAUUUUCUGCGAAACAAAAAACAUGCAACAAACAGGAACUGGCACUGGGCACUGGAUCAAUAUGUUAGUCCCAAAAAUAGUAUAAAAAGUUGCCAACAAUGUAUGAAAGUCGUAGAAUAUUGGCAUGGAACAAUCAAAAAUUAUAGAUACGACGGAGACGUAUCAGUGCCCAGUGCCAGUUGUUGUUUUUUUGCUUGUUUUUUACAUCGCAGGAAAUCAAUAUCAAAUGGAGUCCAAACACUGCGAAACUUUUUGUGGAUUUUUUAUGGGCCAGAAGACUCCCGAUGGACCAGAGCAGCACCUGGGGGGGUUCCCCGAGGGGCGCGCCCUGGUGGGUUGUGCCCACCUCGGUGGCCUCCUGCACCCCCUCUUUGCACUAUAAAUUCCCAAAUAUUCAGAAACCCUUAGGGGUUACCCUAGAUCAGAAGUUCCGCCGCCGCAAGGCUCUGUAGCCACCUAAAACCAAUCUAGACCCUUUUCGGCACCCUGCCGGAGGGGGGAAUCAUCUCCGGUGGCCAUCUUCAUCAUCCCGGCGGCCACCACGAUGAGGAGGGAGUAGUCCACCCUCGGGGCUGAGGGUUUUUACCUGUAGCUAUGUGUUUAAUCUCUCACUCUCUCGUGUUCUUGAGAUGUCACGAUCUUGAUGUAUCGCGGGCUUUGUUAAUAUAGUCGGAUCAUAUGGUGUUUUCCCCUCUCUAUCUUGUGAUGAAUUGAGUUUUCCCUUUGAGAUUUCGUUUUAUCGGAUGAAUACUUUUAUGGAUUUGAGAACACUUGUUAUAUGUCUUGCAAUUGAAUACUCGUGGUGACAAUGGGGUAUCGUAUUGAUUCACUUGAUAUAUGUUUUGGCACUCAACUCGCGGAUUCCCGAGGUGACAUUGGGGUAGGGGUGGAUGCACGUUCUUGUCUUUGUUUCUCUGGUAGAAAUCUUGGGGCACUCUUUGAAGUUCUUUGUGUUGGAUUGAGUAUUAUGAAUAUGAAUUUGCUUUGGUGUUAUUUUAGUACGAACUCUAGGAUAGAUCGAACGGAAAGAAUAACUUUGUGUUGUUUUAGUACGAACUCUUGAAUAGAUCGAACGGAAAGAAUAGCUUUGAGGUGGUUUCGUACCCUACAAACAAUUUAUUCUUAUGUUUUCUGCUAGAUAGGAACUUUGGAGUGAUUCUUCAUCGCACUUUGAGGGAUGGUUAUAUGAUCCAAUUAUAUUAGCUUUGUUGAGAGAUUGCACUAGCGAAAGUACGGACCCUAGGCCUCAUUUUCAAGCAUUGCAAUACCGUUUUUGUGCCCGUUUACUAUUUGCUACCUUGCUGUUUUUAUUUAUUCAGAUUAUAAAAAUAUAUUUCUACCAUCAAUAUUACACUUCUAUUACCAUCUCUUCGCCGAACUAGUGCACCUAUACAAUUUUCCAUUGUAUUGGGUGUGUUGGGGACACAAGAGAUUUCUUGUAUUUGAUUGCAGGGUCGUUUGAGAGAGACUAUCUUCAUCUUACGCCUCCCACAGAUUGAUAAACCUUAGGUCAUCCACUUGAGAGAAAAUUGCUACUGUCCUACAAAACUCUGCGCUUGGAGGCCCAACACGUGUCUACAAGAAUAAAGUUGCGUAGUAGACAUCAAAGGUGUCUAGCGAUAUCGUCGCAAAUCUGCCGUGGAUGCUGCCCGGUACCAAUCCUGGUGAUUACCUGUCCGACAAUGUACAUUUUGAUACAAUGGAGGUGGACGAAUUCAGAUACCAGUACGGGAAGCCUCUCGUCAAAGAUGGAACUCUUGCUCUAACAACGAUGAUGCGAAGAUUCCAUGAAUGGUACAUGAAAACCUGCAGCGAGUCUGGGAAGGAUGCUUUGUCAAUGAGAAUUAAAGAGGACCACGACUUCAUUGGACAAGAACUGUUAACUGUUGAUUUUGACGAGUUUUUCCAAUUCUACAAUCAAAAGGCCCUCGACAAAUUACUCAUGGCUUGCUACUGUCUGUAAGUACUACUUUUCGUAAUUAAGUCUCUAUAUAUAGCUCAACUCUUUCAUUGCAUGUAUAUAUAAUUAUCCUCAUUAUAUUAUGCAGAUUGAAGAUCGUCGAAUGCAGAAAAGCACAAAUCUAUGGCAUUGGGUUCAUUAAACCAAAUGUCAUACAUGAAUGGACGGUUAAAAAGAAUGUCUCAGAAACCAAGGACAGCUUGCUCAAAUCGUUGCUCAAAAAUCAAAGCAAAGAUAAACUACUCUUUCCUUACAACUUUAGGUGAGUGUUGCUGUCUUGUGCAUAUCCGGUUUCCCUUAUUACUCGAGGUUAUAGUAAUGUAACUGAUGAGUUAUGCAUGCGUGCACAGCUUCCACUUUAUUCUCCUAGAGAUUAAGCUUGAGCAGGGACUAGUAACCGUCUUAGACUCGAGACGAAAAGAUCCCCGAGAGUAUGCAGACAUGACUGAAAUACUCCAUAAGUAAGUUCAACCGAUCAUUAUCGCACCUUAUCGGCAACUUUGUUCAUUUCCUGAUGUCAAGUAAUAAUUUUCUUUGUCUGGCAGGGUUUUGAAAGAGUUCAGCGCAAUUUCUCCGGGACUGCCGACCGGGCUGAAAUUUAAACUACCGAAAGUAAGUACUACUACCUAGUUCUGCGCAUCUCCCAUUGAUUCUAGCUAGUUUCAUCAAUACCAUUUAGCAUGCUUGCUUAUCAGUUUGAUUGACCUCUAUUUCUCAUAAAGUGCUUGUGGCAAGAACGCGGGAAUAAUUUCUGUGGAUACUACGUUUGCGAGUUCAUCUACAACGAGACGGCCAAGAAUAAGCGGGGCUACUCUGAAAAAUAGUAUGAAGUGCGUAAGCAAAAAUAUUCACAGUUUUAUUUUAUUACCAUCAUUUGUGUUGAGUUUCAUUGAUACACAUGUAUUGACCCUCUUCUUCGAUUUUGAUCUGGCAGAUGCGGGAUGAUCUCCUACCACAAGAUCGCAUACGAGCAAGUCAAUAGGAUUCAACGGGAUUCUUUCUUGACCACGUCAUCAAUAAAGCGAGAGAAUACCAUGUGGAACUUGACUUUAGAUGUUAGGGAUUGUAAGAGAUCUUAUAUUGUAUAUAUGUAGCUAGUAGCGUCGGAUAGAUAUACGAAAACUUGUUGUUCGACCAAUCUCUCAGAGAAGGAGAGGUCGAUCACUUCUCUCUGUAUAUGUUCAUGACGAUCUUCUGUACUUAAUGGUUUCCUUCAUUUUCUUACUAGCUAGCGUGUCGAGUCCUCUCUAUACGUAUAGUACGUAGCGUCGACCAAGCACGAAGAUAAGAGAGGUCACUUCUCUCUAGCUAUUAGCUAGCUAACACAAUAUAUGAAACCCCCAAAUUAGCNNNNNNNNNNNNNNNNNNNNNNNNNNNNNNNNNNNNNNNNNNNNNNNNNNNNNNNNNNNNNNNNNNNNNNNNNNNNNNNNNNNNNNNNNNNNNNNNNNNNNNNNNNNNNNNNNNNNNNNNNNNNNNNNNNNNNNNNNNNNNNNNNNNNNNNNNNNNNNNNNNNNNNNNNNNNNNNNNNNNNNNNNNNNNNNNNNNNNNNNNNNNNNNNNNNNNNNNNNNNNNNNNNNNNNNNNNNNNNNNNNNNNNNNNNNNNNNNNNNNNNNNNNNNNNNNNNNNNNNNNNNNNNNNNNNNNNNNNNNNNNNNNNNNNNNNNNNNNNNNNNNNNNNNNNNNNNNNNNNNNNNNNNNNNNNNNNNNNNNNNNNNNNNNNNNNNNNNNNNNNNNNNNNNNNNNNNNNNNNNNNNNNNNNNNNNNNNNNNNNNNNNNNNNNNNNNNNNNNNNNNNNNNNNNNNNNNNNNNNNNNNNAGCUGCUGACGCGUGGAUGCUCUUUGGUCCCGGUUGGUGUUACCAACCGGGACUAAAGGCCCUCAUGCCCGGGCUCGCCGCAAUGGCCACGUGGAGCCCCAUCUGUCCCGGUUUGUAAGCGAACCGGGACUAAAGGUAUUGGGCUUUAGUCCCGACCCUUUAGUCCCGGUUCCUGAACUAGGACAAAUGGGCCUCUGGAACCGGGACGAAUGGGCCUUUUUCUACUAGCGUAGGAAUAGUACUUGAUGCCCCACCCGCCACCAGACUAUUAUGUUCAGCUGUAGCUAGCCGAUAAGCACUUCGGACCGAGAAACAUCCGGACUUCUCCGGGAACCAUGCAAGAAAAUCUUGUCUAUUCCUUGGCGACGUCCUAAUUUUCAGAAUUUCAUUAACAUCCAUGUCCCAGAAGUGAUCUCUUAAUCUCUGCACAUCCCAUGCUCCAUGUUCAUCCAGAAAAUCCGCUACCCAAUUGUACCGACAAUUCCAUUUUGGCGUGACUAGUCUUAGAUCAUAACCCCACGGAAUCCAAGGGUCCGCCAAGUUCUAAUUAGUGUACCAUCACCAACCCGCCAGAUAAUGCCCUUCUUCAACAAAUCAACUCCAUGAACAAUACCUUUCCAUACCGCCGAAGAGCUGCUAGGAAAUAAUGUAUCCAACAAAUUCCCAUUAGGGAAAUAUUUUGCAUGCAAUAAACAAGCACAUAGACUAUCAGGGCUGUCCAACAAACACCAGGCCUGUUUUGCUAACAACGCCUGAUUAAAAGCACUCAUAUCCCUGAAACCCAUGCCUCCCAUUGCUUUGGGUAGUUUCAUUUUCUCCCAACUUAGCCAAGCCAUCUUUUUCUUUCCAUUCUCCACUCCCCACCAGUAUUGCCUCAUCAUCUGUGUUAGAUCAUCACAAACAGAGGCCGGUAACCUGAACACACUCAUGAUGUAGGUGGGUAUAGCUUGAGCAACUGACUUUAUCAAAAUCUCUUUAUUAUGAGAAGAAAGAUAUUGCUCACUCCAAUCAAUUAACCUCAGUCGUGUAUUUAACAAGAUGAGAACACUGUCAUGGCGAAGGGUGUUACUCAUGUUUCCAUUACUAAUAUACUCUGAAUAAAUGUACCCUGAAUUUGUUUAUUUAUUUAUUGCUAUGUGCAAUCCACUUUGAUCUAUUACCCUCUUACAUUAGUUAUCUUACACUACUUUAUCGAAGAUCCAUCUGUUAAGAGCGGACUUAACCUGAAACUAGUUCUGUCAGUACAAGAAGUUAAUUUCAACCCAACACACUGAAUUUUUAGACGUAAGAAUGUUGUAUUUGCUAGUAUUAAUGAGAAUGUAGCGAUUUCAAAUCCCCACUGACCAUGAUGUUCCUCAUACUCCGUUAGAAAUGGCUAAGUCAUAAAGCAUAUCCUCUAGCUACAAACAAAUUGAUUGUUGACGAAUUUAAUUCAAAGUAUACUACAUCGGUAUUCCAGAAAUUUACUCGAAAUCACAGGAAAUCGUUUUACUUUGCUGCCGGACCUCAUUAUUAAGGGGGAUAAAGCAACAUGAAGGACUAAAGGUUAUAUGUUGGAGAGCACAUCAUAGUACAGAUUAGGGGAAACUGAAAUACUGUUUUCAGCAGGAAACAGAACACGUAGAAAUGAGCUAAAUCUAGGAGAAUAAAACUAACAAGAUAAUGUGCUAACCCGCUGAAAACUUUUAACAGAAGAAACUCUAAAGAUGAGCAUUCUUGAGCAUAAUGUACCUUGAAGAAUAGAUGCAGCAACACAAAGAAUGAAGCAUCCGUUUUGUAAUGCUUCAGAGUAUUUUCUCUGAAACAUGUUACCAACUUCUGGGAGAAGUAGCAUUCAGUUCUAGCUACAACUUCUGUGACACUGCACUCUUUUCAUUUUGAAGUAACCUCUUCCAAGUUAUUGUAGUUACAAUCUGAAGCGUCUUCCAAAUAAGUUGAGGAGGUUGAGUCCUUGUUUGGUGUGGUAUGCGUUACACAGAAAUACAGCUUGUACAUUUAGUUAUGCUUGAUUAAAAUAUUUUUCCAUAAUUUUCUAUGUCUUGCCCGGUGAUGUAAACUAUAAAAGUGUCAUCGUAUUUGUAGAUGGAUGAUGAUGUGAUAACUGGAAGUAUAAGGACUAGAGAUGGAGAUAAGAAGCAUUUAGCAAAGAUAAUUUUAAUUGUACCCUUGCAAUCGCAAGAAUUUAUCUGCAAGAAAUUUCUAAUUAUUUUAUUAAGCAUCCACUGGCAUACCUGUGCUUAACUGAAUCGUGUUUGUUUGGCGUGAUUUCUCCCGGCACAUGAAGCUUGAUGAGCAAGAAGCAGCAGAACUGGAGGGAAAUGCUAGAGCUUCUCGAUGUUGUACCCUGAAGUGUCACGACCGGUUUUUCAAUAAAAUAUUUAUUGAGAGACCAAUCCCUUUUACGGACCAGUAAAGAAGAAUUCCUUCUCACUGGUAGACAAUAUCUUGGUCACAGAAGAAAAAUACCAGGAGUACUGAAUAUGAUACCAAGUUGAGCGGAGACUGCUCAGCAAUUUAUUACACGAACGCCGAUAAAACAUAACGGCGGAUUGGGUGGCAUAACUACUAACUCACGAUAACAACGGUGGUGGAAAUAUCACCGCGAAGUGGGUGAUAUGACUCCUGAAAACUACAGCUCUUCGAGCGUCAGAGUGAGGCUCGAGGAGACUUAUUGCGGGUGGCGGAAGCGUAUAAAAUACAAGUGACCAAUAUCCAGGAUCGCACGGGACUGACUGGGACUCCUCUAGGCGUCGGACGCACUAUCAAACUCUUCAUCCAAGAGAUCGCCUUCGUCAACAUCUGGCCAAAUCAACAAGCCAGGUGAGUACUAUGAAAGUACUCGCAAGACAGUUCGGACAUAAGAUAUAACAAAUGUAAACAUGAAGCAAUUGAACAGAUUAACAAGUGCAUUCAGACAUAGAGACAAUAAUGCAUGGGGAAUAAAAGAGAAGUCGGGCGGUAGUCCUCCCGAAAUCCCAAAUUAAAUACUGGGUGCCAAACGAGGGUCUGAAUGACUCCUCGAGAGGAAAAUGCAAGAAUAACAAUGCCGCAGUCGGGCGUCAGGGCGACACCACAUAAAGGGCUUAUAAUAGAAAAUAAAAGAUAGUGCGUGCCACAGUCGGACGUCUGAGCGACAUCGCAGAAAGGGCUUAUAUCAAAAGUAAAUAACCAACAUGCCACAGUCGGACGUCUGAGCGACAUCACAUAAAGGGCUUAUACGAAAGUAAAUAACAAACAUGCCACAAUCGAACGUCUGAGCGACAUCACGUAAAGGGCUCAUACAAAAGUAAAUAACAAACAUGCCACAGUUGGACGUCUGAGCGACAUCACGUAAAGGGCUUCAUAACUUAACAUCUUAGUAGCUAAAGAAUUUAAAUCAUAUCUAGAGAAUAAUCAUGCAUGAGAUAAACAACAGGGUUAGUCCAUCCACAGGAGUAACGUUCAACCCAGUUUACUACUCAUGCUCGCUUACCGGAAAGAAGAAUAAACCACGAGGGCUUGACGUAGAUAAGGAUACACUGAUCACUGUGAAUACUUGACCAUGGAUACGAUGACUCGGAAGGAUUUGACUCUGCAGAGUUUGUACUUUAACCACAGCCAACGGAUUUCUGUUGUCACGGGGACUAGUUCCGUUUACGGUGUUUUGGAAGAAACACAUCUAACCAGUACACACCCAUUCAACAUUUCGAAGCCAGGAAUCACCCUCGGCAACGUUCAAGAAAAACCUUGAGACGGGGAGGCUACAACCUCGCGUAGCAUGGGAUCAAAUUUAUAUACGCGCGCUCUAAGGGGUGCCCCCCUCUCGGUCCCAACCGGAAACACCCAUGCCCCCUGACCGGAUGACUGGCUUUAAUCCAGGGCCAUGGAACCCUCAUCCCGGCCCCUCUAUUUGGUGUGUACACGGAAAGAGGUUACCAACUUACUAAACCGCAUUCUGGCAGAAAACAUGUGGCGGCACGGAAGGGGGAAGAACGAUAACGUGACUCCGUCCACGUUAACGUCGGAAUUUAACGGAUGACGUAAGGCUGGCAUGCUACAACAGUACCACCUUACUGCCCUUCAUGUCCCCACAUGACUAGGCCAUCUCUCAUCAGAGAUCAUAGUAACUUCGGAACACGCGGGUAGUCACCUUACAUGCAACGAGAUACUCAUCGAUGCUCAUAUGCCUUGCACAAUCUUUCACGCAAUCACGCAAAACACCUAUCAUAUCAAAAGUUCAAACAUGCUUGCCUGGUUCGGAGAAGUCGGAGCCUAGCUCGGCGAAGUUCGCGGCUCCGUCACCUCUCCCGGAACCUACGGUAUAGCGAAAAAUGCACACUAACGUGAAAACCAAAGCGUGCAUAAAAGUUGUUCCAAUUUUUUUUUCAAAUAAAUCCCAUAAAAAACUAGACAAAAUUUUAAGACAGUCAGAAAAAGAAUCAGUUAAAAAUCACUUUUUAUUAAAAAGUUAUAAGGGUUUCUAUCCAGGGACUCAUCUGUAAUGAAACAGAAAAGUUCCAGGGGUUUAACUGAGAAAACAGAAAACGGUUCGAAUAGAAACGCGCCAGCCCGCAGAGAAAACGUACUCUGCCCGAAGGCGCCAACAGAAAAUGCUUCGGGGGUGAAAGAAGAGAGGCUGACGUGGGGGGUCCACAUGUCAGGUUUGAAAAACCUCGCCGGCGCCCGAAGGCUGCGGUGGUCGCCGGCGUCGAACCACGGCGAGUCAGGGAGAUCGAAGUGUACCAAGAGUAUCAGCGUGUCCUUCCGCGUCGGUGGGUGGUUGACUUGGGCAUCGGGGAGCACCACGUCGACGGCGACACUUUCUCCGGCGGACGGCGGCUCGGGCGAUGGUGGGGAACUCCGGUGGUGUGCUGCAAACUUCGAAUUGAAGCGCGGGUCAGAAGGAGGGAUGCACUAGAGAGCUUCUGGCAAGAGAUGGGAGGCAGAGGUGCACGCACGGGAGUGAAUCGAGCUGGAUCCCGUGGCGGGUCGCGGCGGCCGGAGUCGAGGAAGGAGACUUCCUCGGGGCUCUUCCAGUGGCUAGGCGGGGUCUUGGUGGAGUGUAGAGGUGGUGUGGGUACUAGCUGGAGCUCGGGGCCUCUAUUUAUAGGCGGCUCGAGGGGGUGGCCGUGAACGGAGAAUCUCCGGCGAGCAAUUACGGCGAGGCAGUGGAUUGGCAGGGGUAUUAAGUGGCCAGGCAGCAUCAGUGGGAGUUACUGGUCCCGUUUCACUGCUAAACUCGGUCGGGCAUGGCGUAAUGGCGCCGGUCCUCGUCGGGGUCGCCGUACUCGCACGACGGCGGCAGAGAGCGCGCUCCGCGCCCAGCGGUUCACGACGAGGGUGGCAGCAUGCGCUGGGGAGUGGAAGACCACGCGGCGACCUCCGGUGGAUUGGGCGGCGCCGGACGGCGCCGUCUGCGCUGCGCCACUCUUCUGACGGCCGCAAAGCCGCCGCUGGCGUCGGUCACGGGGCGGCGCACCUUCUGCUGCUCGUCGCCGACGUCCGCAAGCUUCCAGGUGCUCGUGCGGUGCAAAGGACAAGGGGGAGGAGACAGGAAACACGGCGACGCCGGGGCACUGGUGUGAUCGACAAUAGACACUGAAGAAACGACAGUGGUUCAGACACUGUUAACUGAAUUUGACUGAACCUGAUAUUGACAGUGCUCUGAAGGUGUUCGAUGAAAUGAUUAGGUAUGAAGAAAAUUUUUCCUGGAGCUGGGGCUUGGUGAGGUGACCACUCAAUGCACCCAGAGGCUGCCUGAUUUUACUCAGAAUUUUUGGAGAAGGAUUUGAAUGAAUUUCAUCAAAUUUGGCAAAUCUGGUCCAAACUUGCAGCAAGUCUAGUUUGAAAAAUUUGAACUGGAGACCACUGGAUCUUCAUGGAUCUUGGUUGAGGGUUCAAAGGACUAGGAAGGGAAAAAGGUUUGGGGGCAAAAAUCAAAGCAGAAGGAGUAGUUCCUUUGUAAAUCUCCAAGGACCAAGAUAUAUGGCAGAAAUUGUUUUGAUAAGAAGUAAAAGAAAAUAAAUAUAUGGGGAGGUUCAACUUGCUGGAUUUGAAGUAAAACAUGAUCCAAAGAUGAGGAAAGGUUUAUGAGAGUGGAUUUGCACUAAGGUCAUGGCAAGAGAGAUUUGUUGAAAGUGGGAAAAGAUCAUUCCAAAAGCUAUAGGGCAUUUUCAAAGAAAUUUCCAAAAGACAUUUUUCCCAAGUGAAAAGCAUUUUGGCUUGAGUCCAAAAUAAAAAGCAAGAACCUCCAAGACCAAAAACAAGUCUUGGGUGAAUCCAAAUAAAACUCUUGCCAAAGAAUUUUUUUUGAAAGGGAGGGUUCUUUUGAAGAAAUUUUUUAAAUCACCUCCCUCAAGUCAAGUAAUUUUUUUGAAAAAUCCAAAUGAAAUUUUGGGUGUCACAUGAAGAUAGUAAAGCUGAUGCAAUUGUUAAUAGCAAUGCUUGUUGAGCUAUGAUUAUAUUAGUCCUUUAUAGUUAAGAGUUAGUCUUGCUAGUCAAGUACUAAAAAUGAUUCUCUUAUGUAUCACUUGAUAUGUAUGUGAGUCUCUUGUUCUAGUCUGACAUGUAUAUUUAGUUAUGCUUGAAGGGGAUCGCAUAAUUGUGCUGGAUAUUGAUAUAACUUUUGGCGACAAAUAUGUACAACUUCCAUGCAUCUGCAAUGCCGACCCGCAAAUUCCUCGGGUAUACGUCCGUUUUUGUGUCCGGACGUGGUCCGCGGACAUGAUACGGGAGUGAGCCAUCCAUCGCUAUUACAUGUGGUGGGAUAUUGUGGAGUGCUGUUUGGUUAGGGGAGAAAGGAGAGGGGGACUGUGCAUGUGGGGAGAGAGAAAAGAGGAGGACCACUCGGAGGCUUUUGGUUGGUCAAAUGGAUGUCUGGACUCCGGUAUAUCUUUCUACUUUUGUCACCAAUUUGCCGGAAAACGGACAGCCGGACCGCUUCACGGACCGAUAUGUGUCUUCAUUAAAUUGCAGAAGUAAACAAAUGUGUACGGCCGGACAUAUACCGGAGCUUUGUGGGUCUCCCUUGGAGAUGCCCUAAUGCACUAAAAUAUACAUGAACUUCAUGCAAUAUAUAUGUGCAAAGAUUUUAUAAGACUAAGAGGGUUGGGAGCAUCAUCGAUGUGCCAGUGUACUAUAAAUGGUUGCUGGACAGAUGGAUUGGAGCGUACCCAAGUUGAGCUACCCGGGUGCAUAGGAGACCGGGUGCAAGAUAUUUUCUUUGUAAGUUUCAUGCAAAUAUAAUGUGCGACACUCCAUCUUUAAAUGAAAAAUAUGAGUGAUCAUAUGACAGGACACCAGGUCAUUUUCUCUCUAGGUCCACCCCUGGAGAGGAAGACGAGGUAGGGGGGGUUUCCAUUUAUGUAUGAUCUGGCGGCUGAGGACUACAUUUUCUAUUUUUGCAUUCAAGUCCAUCUUCUAUUGUGGUUGCUCCCAAACAAAGGAGCACAUGUUUACAUUUAGGCAAAACGAUGUACCUCCACAAAGGAACACAUACAUGUAAAGGAAAAGCAGCAAAGCUGCAUCAAACCCGGGCCACAAAUACUAAAUCGCCAAUUACAAAUAGCUGAAAAAGGUUUAUUGUUCAUCCUAGAUAACAUUAACGUAAUGAAAGUCCACCACGUACUAAGUUCUAACAAUUUUAUUAUGCUUUUUCAUUCACCCCCCACUGUAUGCUGAAGAAUUCCACAAUCUGAACAAUAACACAUCAAGCUCUAACUUAGUUAGCCAUGGGUUGUCACACAGGCACAGCGUGAAGCGGCGACGCCUGGGCACAGCUAGUUUUCUUUUUUUAGGUAGGCUGGCUUUGUUAGAAGGUUGUGGCCUAGGAGCAAUGAAAUUGCUGAAAUGCGGGUGACAGAUGAAGAAUCAACAGUUCAAGUAGCAAACGAUCAGCCAUGCAGUCAGUUCGAAACUAAAAUUGGCCCAGUAAAACAUAAUUAACGCCUCCCUCAAUUCCAUUUUCAUAUCUGUCUAAUAUGAAAGAAAAGAUGUUCAAAUCUCAAACUUUUAUAACUCUUAAACAUACCAUUACAUAUCAUUUACUCUAAUAGAUAUUCAUAGGUACUUCAUCUUCAUCACAUCAAAGCAAUAUUUUGCCCAAUUGACUUGAUUGUGCCUGCAGUGCACGAUGAACCAGAACCAAACAUCAUCUUCGAUUUGAGCAACACCAAAGUGUUCCACAGCAGUUAGCAGAUUCCAGCCCUUUAACUGGCAGAUUGCUUAUGCUUCUUAGGGUCCACUGAAAGACAAGUUGGCUUGUUGUCACAUGCUAUCCCUUUUACAAAUAGAAAUAGAAGUAACUCAGGUACAUACACCAUCGGAACAUCUUGCAAGCAGUAUGGACAGAUAAGAUGAAUUGCCACUUAAAAAACAGAGUACACAAUAAUAGUCCAAAAAAAGGAAGACAUACAAGGAGAAACGACAAUGCAUUGGAAUAUAUUGAUAAAGGAAACUGUUGCACCUUCAAUAUUAAUGUAAACGUAAUUGCAUCAUAUACUUGAUCUGGCUUAAGAUGGUAACCGGACAUCACGCUCUUCAGCUAACUUGUCAUCGAAGUGUUGUCUUUUUCUUUUUGUGACAAUAAAAAGAAGGCUCAUCCCUAGAAUCAGGAGGAAGAUUCACAUGAUAAGACCAGCAAGGCUAAUACUACAGGAGUUUUACCUAAUGGCAUUCUCAUGGAGGGAGAAUGGCUUUUCACUGGCCCAGUAUCCAGUUACACGAUAUACUAAGUACACGCUAUCUGAAACAAAAGGAUUCUAGAUAACAGAAACAGCCAAAAAUGUGUGCCCUGAUUGACCCACAAGUAACCCAAGUACCCAACGAAACACAUUCUAAAACUUUUUGCCAACAGAAAAAAUUAUGUAUAAAGGGCUUCGUAUAUAUCAUCUAAAUGCACGAGACAUUUGCUCCGGUACAGAAAACAGAGGACAACAUAAUUUUUAUGCUGUAAAAGAGCAAUCAGAAUAGUGUGGUUCCUAGAAUUCUCUUCAAAAUAGCCUACAUUUGAACUCCCAAGGGCAACUAGAUGGCGGAAGUACCAAAGCUAUUAUUGAUGUACUCCCUCCGUUUCCAAACAUAAAACGUCUUAUGUUUGGAAACUGAGUACAGUGAAGUGCACCUACACAAUAGGAGCGGCUCUUGAACAGCCUAACAGAAGAUUCAUGGCAACAAUGUAUUAAAUGAUUCAGUUAAUUAAUACUCCCUCCGUCCGAAAAAGCUUGUCCCUCAAAUGGAUGUAUCUAGCAUCAAGUUAGUGCUAGAUACAUCCAUUUGAGGGACAAGCUUUUUCGGGCAGAGGGAGUAUUACCUCCAUCCCAAAUUAGUUGUCCUAUAUGUGUCUAGAUAAGGAUGUACUCCUAUCCAACACUAGAACAUGUCUUGAUAUAUAUCUAGAGAGACAAAUCUAAGACAACUAAUUCAGAACGGAGGGUGUAUAUAUUAUUAUUAUAACACAGCGAGACUAGAGAUUCAUGAUGCAAAAUAGCAAAAUUGGAAUCUUGAGACUGGAGCAAAGUAGCAGAGCAUAACAUAGGGCAAACAACCCUGAUUAGUAGAGCAGUAUGGGUCUAGAAGUCGUUGGGCAGAGAUAUGCUAAUGAUACAGUAGUUAUUAUAUGUAUUGCAUCAUACGGUCAGAUAAACGAGCAAAAUUAAGUGUUACGGUACCAUAUCCAACAGAAAGCUAAGCAAAGGCAACCCAGUUAGGUGGGAAUCAUAGCAUUUGAAUAUUAAGAGAGCUUCUUCUAGUUACCUGUUGGCCUUUCAAGGUAUUUGCAGAAGACAGAUGGAAGUAGGGGGGUAGCAGGAAUGUGGUUACGGCGAUGUUCCACACCCAGAGACUCACAUGACAGCAGAUGUGCAUUUUCGCCAACCAUGAUAUUCCACCCAUCACCAUCAAACUCCUCCUCUGUUAACAGGCAGCAAAGAACAUUCGGGUCAUCCAAGCUGAUGGUUGGGAACUCAGGAAGACGCUGAUCUAUGUGCAGAUCUAGGUAGCCAGGUUGUGCCCAGAGAGAAUACAGGUUGAUCACAUGAUGUAGCUUCCACUCGAACUUGUUGGAGUCCAACGUCCAAACGGUGAUAUCCUGGGUAGGCCGCUUCUGCUGGCCUCGGCUUUUUCUCGCAGGAGGCGGCCCAUGGAAGUCAUUGUCAAUGUGCACAAAGCACAGCAUGCCUUGGCUGAUGGACACACUUCGGAAUCUGUCAGGGCGGCGCCUUUCAACCCGUUCCUCAUCAGAGAAAUCAUUUUUCCCAGGGAAAGGCACAAAGCGGAGCACUGGGGACAAGUCUUGUAUCACGAAGUCACAUAGCAGAACACCACUCAUGUAGUCAAUACAGCACAGGAAACGGCCGGCAAAAGCAAGCAGAUUGUCGGUUGACCAAAGGUUGGGGAACUGACCGCCAUUGCUCUGGUCCUGCGGCUGAGGGGCAGGCAUCUCGGGGCUGAGUUCCCACUGUUUAGCCCCAGAGCGGAAGACGCAGAGUUGGGCACAGAUACCAUUUUUUCCGCGG